UACAGAGGUCUCAAGCGUUGUUCGGAUUCAUUGGGCGUAAAGGGUGCGUAGGUGGCGCUGUAAGUCGGGUGUGAAAUUUCGGAGCUUAACUCCGAAACUGCACUCGAUACUGCGGUGCUUGAGGACUGGAGAGGAGACUGGAAUUCAUGGUGUAGCAGUGAAAUGCGUAGAUAUCGUAAGGAAGACCAGUGGCGAAGGCGGGUCUCUGGACAGUUCCUGACGCUGAGGCACGAAGGUCAGGGGAGCAAACGGG
This 253-nucleotide ribosomal RNA is filed under the name uncultured bacterium. Its description in RNAcentral is "partial 16S ribosomal RNA". It matches the Rfam family "Bacterial small subunit ribosomal RNA", at positions 524 to 776 of the family's 1533-position model. The record is from RNAcentral.